RNAcentral lists this ribosomal RNA (265 nucleotides) under uncultured bacterium. Its description in RNAcentral is "partial 16S ribosomal RNA". It matches the Rfam family "Bacterial small subunit ribosomal RNA", at positions 333 to 618 of the family's 1533-position model. The record is from RNAcentral.
UGCGUCCUACGGGGGGCAGCAGGGGAUAUUGCACAAUGGGGGGAACCCUGAUGCAGCGACGCCGCGUGGGUGAAGAAGCGCCUCGGCGCGUAAAGCCCUGUCAGCAGGGAAGAAAAUGACGGUACCUGAAGAAGAAGCCCCGGCUAACUACGUGCCAGCAGCCGCGGUAAUACGUAGGGGGCAAGCGUUAUCCGGCUUUACUGGGUGUAAAGGGGGCGCAGACGGCGAUGCAAGCCAGGAGUGAAAGCCCGGGGCCCAACCCCGG